AAUUUUGCACAAUGUGUGAAACCCUGAUCCAGCCAUCCCGCGUGUAUGAUGAAGGCCUUCGGGUUGUAAAGUACUUUUGGCAGAGAAGAAAAGGUAUCCCCUACUACGGCAUGCUGCUGACGGUAUCUGCAGAAUAAGCACCGGCUAACUACGUGCCAGCAGCCGCGGUAAUACGUAGGGUGCAAGCUUUAAUCGGAAUGACUGGGCGUAAAGCGUGCGCAGGCGGUUCGGAAAGAAGGAUGUGAAAUCCCAGGGCUCAACCUUGGAACUGCAUUCUUAACUACCGAACUAGAGUAUGUCAGAGGGGGGUAGAAUUCCGCGUGUAGCAGUGAAAUGCGUAGAUAUGCGGAGGAAUACCGAUGGCGAAGGCAGCCCCCUGGGAUAAUACUGACGCUCAUGCACGAAAGCGUGGGUAGCAAACAGG
RNAcentral lists this ribosomal RNA (424 nucleotides) under uncultured bacterium. Its description in RNAcentral is "partial 16S ribosomal RNA". It matches the Rfam family "Bacterial small subunit ribosomal RNA", at positions 360 to 776 of the family's 1533-position model. The record is from RNAcentral.